RNAcentral lists this ribosomal RNA (486 nucleotides) under uncultured bacterium. RNAcentral describes it as "partial 16S ribosomal RNA". It matches the Rfam family "Bacterial small subunit ribosomal RNA", at positions 28 to 507 of the family's 1533-position model. The record is from RNAcentral.
GACGAACGCUGGCGGCGUGCUUAACACAUGCAAGUCGAACGCUGAAGACCUGGCUUUUGUUGGGUUGGAUGAGUGGCGAACGGGUGAGUAACACGUGAGUAACCUGCCCUCUUCUUUGGGAUAACGCCCGGAAACGGGUGCUAAUACUGGAUAUUCACUGAUCUUCGCAUGGGGGUUGGUGGAAAGGUUUGUUCUGGUGGGGGAUGGGCUCGCGGCCUAUCAGCUUGUUGGUGGGGUGAUGGCCUACCAAGGCUUUGACGGGUAGCCGGCCUGAGAGGGUGACCGGUCACAUUGGGACUGAGAUACGGCCCAGACUCCUACGGGAGGCAGCAGUGGGGAAUAUUGCACAAUGGGCGAAAGCCUGAUGCGGCGACGCCGCGUGAGGGAUGGAGGCCUUCGGGGUGUAAACCUCUUUCGCUCAUGGUCAAGCCGCAACUGUGGGUUGUGGUGAGGGUAGUGGGUAAAGAAGCGCCGGCUAACUACGUG